This 274-nucleotide ribosomal RNA is filed under the name uncultured bacterium. RNAcentral's name for it is "partial 16S ribosomal RNA". It matches the Rfam family "Bacterial small subunit ribosomal RNA", at positions 523 to 796 of the family's 1533-position model. The record is from RNAcentral.
AUACGGAGGGGGCUAGCGUUGUUCGGAAUUACUGGGCGUAAAGCGCGCGUAGGCGGUUUAUCAAGGUAGGCGUGAAAGGCCUGGGCUCAACCCGGGAAUUGCGCUUAAUACUGGUAGACUUGAGUCCGGGAGAGGGUGGCGGAAUUCCCAGUGUAGAGGUGAAAUUCGUAGAUAUUGGGAAGAACACCAGUGGCGAAGGCGGCCACCUGGUCCGGUACUGACGCUGAGGUGCGAAAGCGUGGGGAGCAAACAGGAUUAGAUACCCCAGUAGUCC